UCGGGAAUUUUGGGCAAUGGGCGAAAGCCUGACCCAGCAACGCCGCGUGAAGGAUGAAGUAUUUCGGUAUGUAAACUUCGAAAGAAUAGGAAGAAUAAAUGACGGUACUAUUUAUAAGGUCCGGCUAACUACGUGCCAGCAGCCGCGGUAAUACGUAGGGACCAAGCGUUGUUCGGAUUUACUGGGCGUAAAGGGCGCGUAGGCGGCAAUUCAAGUCAUCUGUGAAAUCUCCGAGCUUAACUCGGAACGGUCAGAUGAUACUGCUGUGCUAGAGUACAGAAAGGGCAAUCGGAAUUCUUGGUGUAGCGGUGAAAUGCGUAGAUAUCAAGAGGAACACCUGAGGCGAAGGCGGGUUGCUAGGCUGAUACUGACGCUGAGGCGCGAAAGCU
This 389-nucleotide ribosomal RNA is filed under the name uncultured bacterium. RNAcentral's name for it is "bacterial SSU rRNA". It matches the Rfam family "Bacterial small subunit ribosomal RNA", at positions 355 to 761 of the family's 1533-position model. The record is from RNAcentral.